RNAcentral lists this long non-coding RNA (1897 nucleotides) under Lathyrus oleraceus (garden pea). Its description in RNAcentral is "Pisum sativum (pea) long non-coding RNA (PSAT_LNC040026)". The record is from RNAcentral. Lineage: Eukaryota; Viridiplantae; Streptophyta; Magnoliopsida; Fabales; Fabaceae.
AUUCAAUCAAAUUUCAUAGGUUUAACAACAACAUUUUCAUCAUUCACACAAUUCAAUCAAAUUUCAUAGGUUUAACAACAACACUUUCAUCAUUCCCAUAAUUCAAUCAAAUUUCAUGGGUUUAACAUCAUCAUUUUCGUCAUUCACACAGUUCAAUCAAAUUUCAUGGGUUUAACAUCAACAUUUCAUCAUUUCCACAAUUCAAUCAAAUUUCAUAGGUUUAACAACAACAUUUUCAUCAUUCACACAAUUCAAUCAAAUUUUAUAGGUUUAACAACAACAUUUUCAUCAUCCCCAUAAUUCAACCAAAUUUCAUGGGUUUAAUUAACAACAACAUUUUCAUCAUUCCCACAAUUCAAUCAAAUUUCAUGGGUUUAUCAUCAACAUUUUCAUGAUUCCCACAAUUCAAUCAAAUUUCAUCGGUUUAACAACAACAUUUCUAUCAUUCACACAAUUCAAUCAAAAUUCAUGUGUUUAAUAACAAUAUUUCCGUUAUUCCCACAAUUCAAUCAAAUUUCAUGGGUUUAACAACAACAUUUUCAUUUUUCACACAAUUCAAUCAAAUUUCUUGGGUUUAACAUCAACAUUUCAUCAUUUCCACCAUUCAAUAAAUUUCAUAGAUUUAACAACAAAAUUUUCAUCAUUCCCACAAUUCAAUCAAAAUUCAUGGGUUUAACAUCAUCAUUUUCAUCAUUAACACAGUUCAAUCAAAUUUCAUGGGUUUACCAUCAACAUUUCAUCAUUUCCACAAUUCAAUCAAAUUUCAUAGGUUUAACAACAACAUUUUCAUCAUUCACACAAUUCAUUCAAAUUUCAUGGGUUUAACAUUAUCAUUUUCAUCAUUCACACAGUUCAAUCAAAUUUCAUGGGUUUAACAUCAACAUUUCAUCAUUUCCACAAUUCAAUCAAAUUUCAUGGUUUUAACAACAAUAUUUUCAUUUAAUCACACAAUUCAAUCAAAUUUCAUGGGUUUAACAUCAACAUUUUCAUCAUUCCCACAAUUCAAUCAAAAUUCAUGUGUUUAAUAACAACAUUUCCAUUAUUCCCACAAUUCAAUCAAAUUUCAUGGGUUUAAAUUCAUGUGUUUAAUAACAACAUUUCCAUUAUUCCCACAAUUCAAUCAAAUUUCAUGGGUUUAACAACAACAUUUUCAUUUUUCACACAAUUCAAUCAAAUUUCUUGGGUUUAACAUCAACAUUUCGUCAUUUCCACCAUUCAAUCAAAUUUCAUAGGUUUAACAACAACAUUUUCAUCAUUCACAUAAUUCAUUCAAAUUUCAUGGGUUUAACAUUAUCACUUUCAUCAUUCACACAGUUCAAUCAAAUGUCAUGGGUUUAACAUCAACAUUUCAUCGUUUCCACAAUUCAAUCAAAUUUCAUAGGUUUAACAACAACAUUUUCAAUAUUCACACAAUUCAAUCAAAUUUCAUAGGUUUAACAACAACCUUUUCAUCAUUCCCAUAAUUUAAUCAAAUUUCAUCGGUUUAACAUCAACAUUUUCAUCGUUCACACAAUUCAAUUAGAUUUUAAGGGUUUAACAAAAUAAUUUUUAUUAUUCAUAUAUUUCAAUCAAAUUUCAGGGUUUUAACAACAAUAUUUUCAUUUAAUCACACAAUUCAAUCAAAUUUUAUGGGUUUAACAUCAUCAUUUUCAUCAUUCCCACAAUUCAAUCAAAUUUCCUGUUUUUAACGUCAUCACUUUUAUCAUUCACACAAUUCAAUCGAAUUUCAUGGGUUUAACAUCAACAUUUCAUCAUUUCAACAAUUCAAUCAAAUUUCAUAGGUUUAACAACAACAUUUUCAUCAUUUACACAAUUCAAUAAAAUUUUAUAGGUUUAACAACAACAUUUUCAUCAUCCCCAUAAUUCAACCAAAUUUCAUGGGUUAAACAACAACAUU